GACGAACCAUGCAAACGUUAUUCGGAUUCACUGGGCUUAAAGCGUGCGUAGGCGGCGGUGUUAGUCAGGUGUGAAAGCCCUCAGCCCAACUGAGGAAUUGCGCUUGAUACUGCAUUGCUAGAGAAUGAUAGAGGUGGGUGGAACUGAUGGUGGAGCGGUGAAAUGCGUUGAUAUCAUCAGGAACACCAGUGGCGAAGGCGACCCACUGGGUCAUUUCUGACGCUGAGGUACGAAAGCUAGGGUAGCGAACGGG
Molecule: ribosomal RNA, 253 nt
Filed under: uncultured bacterium
Lineage: Bacteria
Description: partial 16S ribosomal RNA
Rfam family: Bacterial small subunit ribosomal RNA
Source: RNAcentral